Molecule: ribosomal RNA, 449 nt
Filed under: uncultured bacterium
Lineage: Bacteria
Description: bacterial SSU rRNA
Rfam family: Bacterial small subunit ribosomal RNA
Source: RNAcentral
UGGGGAAUAUUGGACAAUGGGGGGAACCCUGAUCCAGCAAUGCCGCGUGUGUGAAGAAGGCCUGAGGGUUGUAAAGCACUUUCAGUGGGGAGGAGGAUUGACAUGUUAAGAGCUAGUUAAUUGGACGUUACCCACAGAAGAAGCACCGGCUAACUCCGUGCCAGCAGCCGCGGUAAUACGGAGGGUGCGAGCGUUAAUCGGAAUUACUGGGCGUAAAGGGUGCGUAGGUGGUGCGUUAAGUUAGCUGUGAAAUACCUGGGCUUAACCUGGGCAGGUCAGCUAAGACUGGCGGACUCGAGUAUGGGAGAGGGUAGUGGAAUUUCCGGUGUAGCGGUGAAAUGCGUAGAGAUCGGAAGGAACACCAGUGGCGAAGGCGGCUACCUGGCCUAAUACUGACACUGAGGCACGAAAGCGUGGGGAGCAAACAGGAUUAGAUACCCCCGUAGUCC